GAUGAACGCUGGCGGCGUGCCUAAUACAUGCAAGUCGAGCGAACAGAUAAGGAGCUUGCUCCUUUGACGUUAGCGGCGGACGGGUGAGUAACACGUGGGUAACCUACCUAUAAGACUGGAAUAACUCCGGGAAACCGGGGCUAAUGCCGGAUAACAUGUUGAACCGCAUGGUUCUACAGUGAAAGGCGGCUUUGCUGUCACUCAUAGAUGGACCCGCGCCGUAUUAGCUAGUUGGUGAGGUAACGGCUCACCAAGGCAACGAUACGUAGCCGACCUGAGAGGGUGAUCGGCCACACUGGAACUGAGACACGGUCCAGACUCCUACGGGAGGCAGCAGUAGGGAAUCUUCCGCAAUGGGCGAAAGCCUGACGGAGCAACGCCGCGUGAGUGAUGAAGGUCUUCGGAUCGUAAAACUCUGUUAUUAGGGAAGAACAAAUGCGUAAGUAACUGUGCGCGUCUUGACGGUACCUAAUCAGAAAGCCACGGCUAACUACGUG
Molecule: ribosomal RNA, 497 nt
Filed under: uncultured bacterium
Lineage: Bacteria
Description: partial 16S ribosomal RNA
Rfam family: Bacterial small subunit ribosomal RNA
Source: RNAcentral